Cricetulus griseus (Chinese hamster) is the source of this 543-nucleotide non-coding RNA. The record is from the annotation of a RefSeq genome assembly. NCBI's taxonomy places the organism in Eukaryota, Metazoa, Chordata, Mammalia, Rodentia, Cricetidae.
AUGAAUGCUGGAUUGUUGUUAGAUGUGAACCAGCGGGACUCGGGCAAAGUGCAUAGGGCUGACUUCCGUGGAGACAGACUGGAUGUCUCAAGAAUAAACAAAGCUUCCAUUCUCCACAAAUCUCCAUCUUAUUACUCUCAUGAUUCUUCCCAGUCAAACAAGAGUCCUAGGACAACAAUCCUGACCUAUACAAAAACGAGACUGUUGGGUCUUCUGUACCUGGUGACAGCCCUUCCUGGUGUCCUGUCCCAGAUCCAGCUUCAGGAGUCAGGACCUGGCCUGGUGAAGCCCUCACAGUCGCUGUCCCUCACUUGCUCUGUCACUGGUCACUCCAUCACCACCAGUGGUAAUGACUGGCACUGAUUCAGGCAGUUCCCAGGGAAGAAGCUGGAGUGGAUGGGGUACAUAGGUUAUAGUGGUGGCACCAGCUACAACCCAUCCCUCAAGAGCCGCAUCUCCAUCACCAGAGACACAGCCAAGAACCAGUUCUUCCUGCAGCUGAACUCUGUGACCACUGAGGACACAGCCACAUAUUACUGUGCA